CCUACGGGGGGCAGCAGUGAGGAAUAUUGGUCAAUGGGCGGGAGCCUGAACCAGCCAAGCCGCGUGAGGGAAGAAGGUACAGCGUAUCGUAAACCUCUUUUGUCAGGGAACAAAGGCGGGGACUCGUCCCCGGAUGAGUGUACCUGAAGAAAAAGCAUCGGCUAACUCCGUGCCAGCAGCCGCGGUAAUACGGAGGAUGCGAGCGUUAUCCGGAUUUAUUGGGUUUAAAGGGGGCGCAGGCGGAGUGUUAAGUCAGCGGUAAAAGCCCGGGGCUCAACCCCGGCGAGCCGUUGAAACUGGCAGGCUGGAGGUGGGGAGAGGGGAGCGGAAUGCGGGGUGUAGCGGGGAAAUGCUUAGAUA
This 360-nucleotide ribosomal RNA is filed under the name uncultured bacterium. Its description in RNAcentral is "partial 16S ribosomal RNA". It matches the Rfam family "Bacterial small subunit ribosomal RNA", at positions 338 to 696 of the family's 1533-position model. The record is from RNAcentral.